GCUUCACUAGCUCAGUAGGCAGAGCAUCAGUCUCAUAAUCUGAAGGUCGAGAGUUCGAACCUCCCGCGGAGCA
This 73-nucleotide transfer RNA is filed under the name Zygosaccharomyces bailii CLIB 213. RNAcentral describes it as "tRNA-Met (CAT) (tRNA-Met-CAT-1-1)". It matches the Rfam family "tRNA". Rfam says of the family: Transfer RNA (tRNA) molecules are approximately 80 nucleotides in length. Lineage: Eukaryota; Fungi; Ascomycota; Saccharomycetes; Saccharomycetales; Saccharomycetaceae. The record is from RNAcentral.